GACGAACGCUGGCGGCGUGCCUAAUACAUGCAAGUUGAGCGCUGAAGGUUGGUACUUGUCCCAACUGGCUGAGCAGCGAACGAGUGAGUAACGCGUGGGGAAUCUGCCUUUGAGCGGGGGACAACAUUUGGAAACGAAUGCUAAUACCGCAUAAAAACUUUAAACACAAGUUUUAAGUUUGAAAGAUGCAAUUGCAUCACUCAAAGAUGAUCCCGCGUUGUAUUAGCUAGUUGGUGAGGUAAAGGCUCACCAAGGCGAUGAUACAUAGCCGACCUGAGAGGGUGAUAGGCCACAUUGGGACUGAGACACGGCCCAAACUCCUACGGGAGGCAGCAGUAGGGAAUCUUCGGCAAUGGACGAAAGUCUGACCGAGCAACGCCGCGUGAGUGAAGAAGGUUUUCGGAUCGUAAAACUCUGUUGGUAGAGAAGAACGUUGGUGAGAGUGGAAAGCUCAUCAAGUGACGGUAACUACCCAGAAAGGGACGGCUAACUACGUG
Molecule: ribosomal RNA, 497 nt
Filed under: uncultured bacterium
Lineage: Bacteria
Description: partial 16S ribosomal RNA
Rfam family: Bacterial small subunit ribosomal RNA
Source: RNAcentral